Molecule: long non-coding RNA, 517 nt
Filed under: Coffea arabica (coffee)
Lineage: Eukaryota; Viridiplantae; Streptophyta; Magnoliopsida; Gentianales; Rubiaceae
Description: long non-coding RNA (CARA_LNC002666)
Source: RNAcentral
UUUUUUUUUUGGGGGGUUAAGUAGUAUCUUGGAAGCUACGUUGACUUAAUUUACGUUGUAUGACAUUAUUAUUGUUUAUUGAAGACGCCAGACUACAAAUUGGCACUCUCCCAUAAUUACUCUUCUCUUUUAACUACUCUAUCUCUCUCUCUCUUUUUUCUUUUUUUGAAGAAACUACUCUCUCUUUUGAUUAGGCAUGUUAAUAGGUACAAGCUGAGUGUAAUCUCUUUUAUCCAAAUCUAGAUCUAUUAAAUUUGAUUAAAUCCAAACCCAAAUCCAAACUGUUAUGGGUCUAAAAAGCAAAUUCAGACUCAAACCUUAUAAUAUCCAACGGAUAUUCGUUAUGUUUUUCUAAACAUACUAAAAUAAAAAAUUAUUAAAACAUGUAGAGUUCAAAAAUAAUAUAAAUAUCAUCCAAUUUUUACUUUCAAAUAAUAAAAUUAAUAUUCAAGAAGUGAAGUGCAAUAUUAUGAACUAAAUUAACUACUUCUAUUUAUUUUCAAAGUUUUAUAUCAAU